Molecule: unclassified non-coding RNA, 250 nt
Filed under: plant metagenome
Description: partial contains small subunit ribosomal RNA, internal transcribed spacer 1, and 5.8S ribosomal RNA
Source: RNAcentral
GUAGGUGAACCUGCGGAAGGAUCAUUAUCACGUAUCCACGUAUAAACCAUUGUGAACUGUUUUUCAGCCUUUGUCGAGAGUGAGGUAGUGGGUUUUCAAACAUAUGAACGCUUCUUGUGAUUUGUCGUUCGUUUGGGAACUCCAAUAUUCAGCUUCGGUUGAGUAUACUCGUUCACUUCAAAGUGUAUUUAUCAAAUCACCUUAUUGUAUUAACAAUUUAAACCCUGUUUAAUGAACUUUGACUGAUUUU